GAAAAAACAAGAAAAAGAAGAGAAGAUGGCACAGAAACAGAAAGAAAACAAGGAGAAGAAAACAGGUUUUUGGAGCUGGAUACGCAAGAAGAAGAGCGACAGCGACAGAAAGGUGCACUGAUUUCUAUGUAAAAGACUCGGGAUGGUGAUGUUUAUGCACGCUCCAGAGUGCCUUGCCUCUCUCCCGCCCCCCCUACAGUGCCAACAGGGUCUAACACUAGCUAACGUUAGCUUAGAAAUGGAGUCUGCUAAAAGUCAACAAAGGACCGGCACCCACCACAACACAGAGUUCAAUAAAAGUCGACCUCAGCACAACAACAACAACAACAAAAAAGUUUUAUCUAUUGAAGCCCAUCUGGCCAAACGGCAAUGUGACUGAUGUCAAGGGAAAACUAGAGUCAACAUCGGCUCUGCAUUCGAGACAUAGAGGGACUUUCAUUGAUUUUGGGGAUCAAAACUGACACGGAGCUGGCCUUCUUCCUAUUGGACAGCUAUCAGAAGACUAAUAACUACUAUGACACCAAGAAAGAUUUUCUAAUGGCAGGAGUUUGACCACUGGCUGAGGACUAAGCUUUGGAGGUUUUACAAGAAAAGUAGAUGUGUCUUAUAAUGACUAGACAGAACCCCUAUGUAGCCAAAAUGAAUCCCCUUUUGUGAUUCUAAAUGGUCCCAUUGUCUUUAUGUAUUAUGUUAUAUGGACUCUUACUUGUUUUGUGUGUCGCAUCAAUUGUUGUUGAUUGUUGGUCGAAUAAAACACAACUUUUGGAUAUGUUAACUUACUGUAGAUUUUGGGAAAUUGUGAUGGGCAUUUUUCAUUUUCUUUUCUGACAUCUUAUAGACAAAAUGACUAAUGGAUUAAUUGAGAAAAUUGGCAGAUGAAGCAGUAACGAAAAUAAUUGUUUGUUGCAGCCAUAAAUGCAAAUACUUGAGUUAAAGCUCAGAGGACAGAGGUAAAGAAAGUUUUUCUGUAAAUAAUUUAAUUUCUUUAACCUCAUAUAGAAAUAACAAAGAGAGCAUCAAGUAUUAUGUAUAACAUACAUUUACAAAAUUCAAGUCAAAACAUAACAGUACAAAAUAUCACUCAUCUCAACAUUAAAAAGGUCAUGAUCUUAUUAUAAAAUGUAUCCCAAGAUUUCAUGGAAUUCCCAUGAACAUUAUUGAUGUUUGAUAAAAUAGUCUCAACUCAAGGUGUACUUUCUUAUUCCAGAGCUUUCAACCAUGUCAAUUCCCCAUCAGCAGAAGGAAUUUGCUCCAUUGUCAUUUCACUGAAUUCUACAUGAAUGUAUAACGUACUAAAAGUGCCCAGAAUAAUGGAACGUUUGGACAUCUACAGUUCCAUGACAAUUUAGCAAACUCCAUCUGCUGAUGAAGACUGUAGAUCAAAAGCUCCAGAUUACGGGUAAGUGCAUAUUGUGUUGGGAUUGUUUCUUCAACUGCUCUUUAUGAAAUCAAGAAUAAAUUGUCAAACCUAAUUGUUGCUAUUAUGUCACAAUACAUAACAAUCAGUCUACUUCACAUCUGGAGAUACAGGGCUUCUCCACAGCCCAAAUCUCUAUGGCCUACUACUAAUAAGACAUACCAACUUUUGGACCCAACUAUUUCUCAGCAUUAUACAAAUGCUUUUCUCAGAAUCAAUGAACAGGAAUGCCUGCCCACAUAAUUUGUAUAAAUGUUUGAGCUUUUUGUAAACUGUCCUGAGCUUUUUGAUCCAUAUAAGCGAUGUAUCACUGUAAUUGUGAUUAUAUAAGCGGAUGCCACUGUAUAAUGUUAGUGUUAUAUAGCCUAUCCUCUUGUCUUUUCCUCACUUAAACCUAAGGUUAGCUAACGUUAAGCAAGUAACAAAUGAGUAACAACUUGAUAGCUCGCUACAUUGACCAUCAUUUGCCACAAAUUCAUAUUGGAGCUUGUUAUCCUCACGCUGUAACUACUUACUGUUUCACUCUGUAUAUUAUGUUUAUCUUGGUAAAGUUUUAGCCAACAUCUUGUCAUAACUUCAGUGGUUUCCGACUGCCGUCACAGUCUCGACCAAAGAUGGUACAGGAAUUACGGAGCGGGCAGCAGAGCCAAUGGAAAUGCUGGAUUAGAGCAGCAGCAGUAGCCUCUCCCAGGUCCUAGUGCCCGGCGACUUAGGUACAUUGUGAAUUUGGAGACGCAAUGGCACAAUUUCG
Long non-coding RNA from Thunnus maccoyii (southern bluefin tuna), 2168 nucleotides. RefSeq lists it as uncharacterized. The transcript has 3 exons. The record is from RefSeq and is a predicted model, not a curated record. Lineage: Eukaryota; Metazoa; Chordata; Actinopteri; Scombriformes; Scombridae.